This 229-nucleotide ribosomal RNA is filed under the name uncultured bacterium. RNAcentral's name for it is "partial 16S ribosomal RNA". It matches the Rfam family "Bacterial small subunit ribosomal RNA", at positions 28 to 249 of the family's 1533-position model. The record is from RNAcentral.
GAUGAACGCUAGCUACAGGCCUAACACAUGCAAGUCGAGGGGCAUCAGGAAGAAAGCUUGCUUUCUUUGCUGGCGACCGGCGCACGGGUGAGUAAACACGUAUCCAACCUGCCCUUUACUCGGGGAUAGCCUUUCGAAAGAAAGAUUAAUACCCGAUAGUAUAAUGAUUCCGCAUGGUUUGAUUAUUAAAGGAUUCCGGUAAAGGAUGGGGAUGCGUCCACUAGUUGUU